This 88-nucleotide transfer RNA is filed under the name Candidatus Methanoperedens sp. Its description in RNAcentral is "tRNA-Leu". It matches the Rfam family "tRNA". Rfam says of the family: Transfer RNA (tRNA) molecules are approximately 80 nucleotides in length. Their secondary structure includes four short double-helical elements and three loops (D, anti-codon, and T loops). Lineage: Archaea; Methanobacteriati; Methanobacteriota; Methanomicrobia; Methanosarcinales; Candidatus Methanoperedentaceae. The record is from RNAcentral.
GCGAGGGUUGCCCAGACCGGUCAAAGGCGAUAGCUUGAGGGGCUAUUUCCGUAGGGAUUCAUGGGUUCAAAUCCCAUCCCUCGCACCA